This 394-nucleotide unclassified non-coding RNA is filed under the name fungal sp. RNAcentral describes it as "partial internal transcribed spacer region". The stretch from base 1 to 46 matches the Rfam family "Eukaryotic small subunit ribosomal RNA", at positions 1786 to 1831 of the family's 1831-position model. The record is from RNAcentral. Lineage: Eukaryota; Fungi.
AAGUCGUAACAAGGUUUCCGUAGGUGAACCUGCGGAAGGAUCAUUAACACCCAGUUGAGACCGUACUGUUCGCUUCGCGUUCGGUUGCGUGUCUCUUCUACUAUCCACCCGUGGUCGUGUUCCGUACCUUGGCCCUUGUGGUCGAGGUUGAUCCACUCGGUCGCUGAGUGCUGGUGGCGUGCAGUACCUCGGUACUGUUGCGAAUACAGCCCAGUGAUAAGAGGUCUUAUCGGGGCCUCAAGUCGUAUAGGCUGAGCGGCCUAUUUUUCACCUUUUACUGCAAACUAUACCUGCACUGAAUCCAUAUGCACGCGAAAGCGUGUGUAUGCUUUAUUGGCCUUCACUGCGCCGAUAAAACCAAAUACAACUCGUAGCAAUGGAUAUCUCGGCUAAC